This 376-nucleotide ribosomal RNA is filed under the name uncultured bacterium. RNAcentral describes it as "bacterial SSU rRNA". It matches the Rfam family "Bacterial small subunit ribosomal RNA", at positions 29 to 410 of the family's 1533-position model. The record is from RNAcentral.
AAUGAACGUUGGCGGCGUGGAUUAGGCAUGCAAGUCGCGCGACAAGGAACCUUCGGGUUCUGGAGGAGCGGCAAAACGGGGUAGUAAGGCAUCGGAACGUACCCUCUUGUUGGGAAUAGCCGCGGGAAACUGCGAGUAAUGCCCAAUAAUCCCUACGGGGCAAAGGUCCGCCGCAGGAGGAGCGGCCGAUGUGAUACCAGCUAGUUGGUGAGGUAAUGGCUCACCAAGGCUUAGACGUCUAGGGGGUGUGAGAGCAUGGCCCCCACCCACUGGGACGUGAGACACUGCCCACGACACCUACGGGUGGGCUGCAGUCGAGAAUCUUUGGUCGAAUAGGGCGGCAAGCCUCGACCAAGACGACGCUGCGUGCGGGAGU